UUCACAUGGGGAUCAUGUUAAAAUGCAGAUUUUAAUUCAGUAGAUCAAGCUUGGGGUCCAGGAUUCUGCAUUUUUAACAAGCUAUCAGGUGAUAUUUA
Molecule: microRNA precursor, 98 nt
Filed under: Loxodonta africana (African savanna elephant)
Lineage: Eukaryota; Metazoa; Chordata; Mammalia; Proboscidea; Elephantidae
Description: mir-544 microRNA precursor family
Rfam family: mir-544 microRNA precursor family
Source: Rfam by way of RNAcentral